CGGAAAGACACGGUUUUACCGCCCGCACGCGGCACUGCGGGCAGCACCCCGAGCGCGCAGCGCCCCAGGGCGCGCGGCACCGCCAACCGGGAGGGCACGUGUUACAUAAACGGCACCAGAUGGGGGGCACCCAGAGCUGCCCGAGCACCGACCCCCGCGGAGGGAAAGGCACCGCAACGCAACGCAACGCAACCCCCGCCUCGGAACGCCGCAGAGCCGCUAUGCCGCAGCCAGAGCCGCGGCGAGCGUCCCUCCCCGACCCCCUAUGUACUGAGAAAGAAGAGAGAAUUCAGAGAAGAGGCACUGAAGACCUGAGAAACUGUCUCACAGUGAAGGAUUUAUAGAAGUUACUCUUUUCGGUUUCUCUAAAAGAAAAUUGAGAGAUGACUGGAUUGCAGCAUUCUUACACCAGGAUUUUAUAUGCCUCUAACAGAAAAGGGUAUAAUGCCUGGAAGCCAAAGUUAGAGAAGUUCAGAUUCAAAAUCAAGCACAUUUAAUAGCAAGAUAAUUAAGCACGGGAACAACACGUCCAGCACAAAUGAUUUUCUCUUAAUACCUUUUAGGAAGAUGUCUUUAUGAAAUAAAAGUUCUACAUGGGCAAAAGACAGAAUAAAAAAUGUACA
Molecule: long non-coding RNA, 623 nt
Organism: Numida meleagris (helmeted guineafowl)
Lineage: Eukaryota; Metazoa; Chordata; Aves; Galliformes; Numididae
Exons: 2
Source: RefSeq, a predicted model, not a curated record